UUUUGUUACAGGAUCAGUGAA
RNAcentral lists this non-coding RNA (21 nucleotides) under Caenorhabditis elegans. The record is from RNAcentral. Lineage: Eukaryota; Metazoa; Nematoda; Chromadorea; Rhabditida; Rhabditidae.